CUGACGGCCACUUGGAGCUGCACGAGGGACGGCUGAGGGCCGCCGGCGGACCGCGGAGACAGGCGCGCGGCCGGCCACGCCCGGCAGAUGGCGCUGCUCCUCCAGGGACCUUCCCCGCUGCCAGGCGGCCGCGCCCAGCAGGUGGCGCCGGGCGGCGGCUGAGGAGAGAAGUGAGCGGGUCUGCGGCCUGCGACUGAGGCGCGGGAUCCCGCGGUCGGGCCGGACGGCAGGGACCGCCCACCCAGCCUCCUCCUCGCUUUUACUCCUUCAGUCACGUCGGCAAACAGCACUCGAGACCGUGCUUUCCGGUCGCCGGUUUCCCGCGGCCUCGUGAAAAAGGAUCUUCAGGGUCUUGAAAUUCCCGCCAGAGCGCGAAGGCCGAACAGUUCGUCCUCGCACCACGACUUUGACACUCCUCCCACCGAGGGGGCCGAAUGGGUUCUCCCGCCUUCAGUCCGCGUCGGGACGUUGCUUGUGAGUGCUCCAACAAGAAGGACAAGAGAAGUUUCUCUGACUCUCCGGGCUGGGUGAUAGAAAGGCUACUGCGCCAUAUCCUUUUUGUAGGAGCUGGGGUUAGAAUACUUGCUCUGGGGAAGCCGGCUCCCAUGCUCUGGGGGGGCCCAAAUUCACUCACGUGGAGAGACCAGGAUGAGAGGCGCUAGGGUCCCAAACUGACGGCCAGCCUCAGGCUUCAGACACAGGAAUAAACCAGGCCUCAGACUGCUUCCGGCUGUCAAGUCUUCCUGCUGAGACCCGGACCUCGCGGAGCAGCAGCGAGCUUUCUGGGCCAUGCCCUGUCUGAAUUUCUGACCCCUGGCCUCUGCAAAUGUAGUGAUUUUAUGCUGCUGCAUUUUCUGGUGACUUGUUCAACAGCCCCAGUAAUUGGAACAGUCACCCAGUGAAUUAAAUGGUGCCAAGCAGGGGACAGACCUUUCCUCCCCUUCAGUAUAGCUGGGCUGGGAAAGGACUGUGCCCAAGCAGCAGUUUGAGCGUGGAGAUGACCUCAUUCCUCACCCCUCCCUCCCUCCUGACAGUGGCAUCUCUUGUUCUGCUAGACUUUGCAAGUGUCCCCCUCUUCCCAAACACCCAGGCCCGGAACCACAGGGUGUCUGAUUUUUUCCUUUCCCUUGACCCUCCUGACAGAGACAACACGUGAUGCCCAUUAUUUUUUCCCUGGUGCUCACACAAAUUUGUUCCUUCCUUCCCAUCCCUAACGAUGAUCAGUAUGAUAGGAGAGUCCCCUGUGGUUUGAGACCACUGUCUCCUACCAGGGAAAGCAAAAGAGAGACCCUGCGAGCAGGAUGGGGAGGAGCAGAAGGAGAGAGAAUCUUCUGCAGGCCUGGAACGAUGCGAUGCGAGGCUCCAUCUCCCUGCCCUGCGAUCAUGACCUGAUUCAAAACCAAAUUAGAUGCUUAACCAACUGAGCCACCCAGCCACCCGGAGCAGCUCAUAUGAUGAUGGUUCUUCACGGAUUCUUCAUUACUCCGCUUCAAAGGAAUGACAGUGACCAAAGAAGUUUUAAAAACGUCAUGUGAGGGACGCCUGGGUGGCUCAGUUGGUUAAGCAGCUGCCUUCGGCUCAGGUCAUGAUCCCAGCAUCCUGGGAUCGAGUCCCACAUCAGGCUCCUUGCUCCGCAGGGAGCCUGCUUCUCCCUCUGACUCUGCCUUCCACUCUGUCUGCCUGUGCUCGCUCUCGCUCUCUCUCGCUCUCUCUUUGACAAAUAAAUAAAUAAAAUCUUUAAAAAAAAAAAAAAAGUCAUGUGAACCCGGACAGUCGUAGGCUGUUCACAGAAAUGUUCCUCCCUUCUGGGCACACAGUGGGAGCGUGGCUCUCAGAUAAGACUGUGCAAUGUGUCCUGCCCAAUGAAAUGCAAGCUACAUGAUGUUUGUCACUUCCUAAUGAUGAAGUUCUAGAACCUAGGUGAGGUUCGGUGGGCUGA
This is a long non-coding RNA of Mustela lutreola (European mink), 1939 nucleotides long. RefSeq lists it as uncharacterized. The transcript is spliced from 4 exons. The record is from RefSeq and is a predicted model, not a curated record. NCBI's taxonomy places the organism in Eukaryota, Metazoa, Chordata, Mammalia, Carnivora, Mustelidae.